This is a non-coding RNA of Odocoileus virginianus texanus, 424 nucleotides long. The record is from RefSeq and is a predicted model, not a curated record. Lineage: Eukaryota; Metazoa; Chordata; Mammalia; Artiodactyla; Cervidae.
GAGGCUGUAGACUGGUUCCUCCUUUUCUUAUUUUUCUUUCCUGUUUCCCUCGGAGGACGGCAGGAAUCAGCACAGCAUCACCCGUCGAGGGUGGGGUGGCCCCAGCCCACCCGCCCGCCAGCCGGAGACCAAGGAUGGAGGCAUGGCAGGGUCUCUUCUGUCUCACCUUCCUCUGCUUUCUGCUGCACGUCCGAGGGGAGUAUGGUGACUUUGAUUUGGCCGACGCUCUCGACGACCCCGAGCCCACCAAGAAGCCAAGCUCAGGUGAGUGACUUCCUGACUCAGGUGAGUGGACAGAGAUGAGGCUGCCCCACCACAAGCUGAGGUUUUGGAAGGAGUUUUAUGGGGUCUUCCCAGGAUGCUCCGUGGUCAAAAAUCCGCCUGCCAGUGCAGCAGACAUGAGUUCCACCCCCGGGUCGGGAAG